Long non-coding RNA from Numida meleagris (helmeted guineafowl), 1700 nucleotides. RefSeq lists it as uncharacterized. The transcript has 5 exons. The record is from RefSeq and is a predicted model, not a curated record. Lineage: Eukaryota; Metazoa; Chordata; Aves; Galliformes; Numididae.
CCCCGGGCGCACCUCCCCCAGCGCUGCUGGCUGCUGCCGUCGGGCGCUGACAGAGCCGGGCCCGCCCUGCAGCCCGAGGCCCGGCCGGCCAAACGUUGGCUGCGGUGCUCCGUCCGUGCGGCCGCUGGGGACGCGGAGACCGCGGUUCUGUGCCGGGCGGAGGCCGUGACGGGAGCUCCUCGCUGCCCUCCGUCCCCCCUCGGCCUUCUGUACCCAGCGCCGAGCAAAGGCCGUGCCCGCAGCCUGCCCUGCGCUGCCGUGUGCCCGGGCCCCUCCCCAGCGCUGAGGCCUGGGCUGGGCCCUCACCCCGCGGGGCAGAGUCGUUCCCAGUGGGAGCAGACCCUCAAGUACCCAAAUGGAGAGGCAUGGACUGGUUUUGCUUUUUUAAAAAAUUGCUUAGGUUUUUAUUAUUAUUUUGUGUUGUCCUUUUAAAUUGGUUAUGGUCCAGUGCUGAAACAAAAGUCCCAAUGGACAACUGGAAUGGACCUUCAUGCUGAACUUCAGCCCUUCUUCCCAUCCAAACCAAAGUCCUCUGCUUCUCCAAAGGAACAGCCACCUCUGUAUCUUCUGUGACACCGCCUGGAGGCCGCAGGGAGCUCGGGGCCGUCCGCUGGACUCCUCCUGCUGUCCUGGUGCAGCAGCUCAGAGGACAGCAGUCCCAGUCCUGCCCUCUUCUCAGGGCUCACCUGGAGGCUGCAGGAUGCUCAGGGCCAUCUGCUGGACUUGUCUUGUUGUCCCGGCACAGCAGCUUAUAGGACAGCAGUCCCAGUCCUUCCCAUUUCCUCAGAGCUCGGGAAAGAAGAGGAUGGUGUUGGCUUUCAGAGAGAACUGCCCUGCCUUUCUUUACCUCGAGCCAGAAGUGGGGUAAAGCAAAUCCUUCAGACAUGCCUUCCAGGGGAGCAGCAGUCACUUCCUCCAGAGGCUGCGUUAAGCACAGCAACAAAUCAGAGCAGAUGUGGCUCAAUGAAACCAUCCCACAGCUCAGGAUGAGUGAGGUGGUUACAAACAGCUUUGAAUAUGUGUAUGCUUGUGUACAACAUAGCCGAACAAACCUCCACUGCUGUUUGUGCUGCAGAACAGAUGACUUGGAAAAGGCUCUCGAAGUUCUGGGACUUCACCCUGACAAGUUCUGGAUUUGAACAUCCCCAAGUCUCGAGGCUGCCUGCUGCCUGGCGUGGGCUUAUCUCUGCAGGAGGCAAGCUGAAGUGCUCCGUGCCAUUGCCAUGCCUUUUAAAUUUUCAGGAGUGGAGGAUCCAUGUGAGCACGCCAGCAGCAGUGUGUGUAUUUAGAUAUAUUGCUGUGGGUACAGUAUGAUCGUAAUGAGGUGACGCGGCGCUGGGACUGCACCUAACUCAUCUCCUGGCAUUGUGGAAGUGGGAGAAGAUGGAUGUGCUGCUCCCUCGCCUCCUCCCUCCACGUUUUGUUUGUUGUUCAGAAGACAUAUGGACAGCCACGUACACAAAUACACACAGAUUUCUCCCUGAAGAAUGAUGUCAUGGCAGAUUUUUUUUGUAUUCAGAGUAAAAUAUUAUAAUGGCACGAUUUCCUUCCUUCAAGCAAGAAAAUGGUUGAGCAGAUCUUCUAUUCUUAUGAAAAGCCUGUGAGUCUAUUACUUUCCUGGGAAUUGGAUAUUUUUUUCUUGAAAUGGGCUGCUUUUCUCACCUUAAAAAAAAAAUCAUAUUUUGACUGGCACACCAUUU